GGAAAGGUGUCCGAAUCAGGUAAGGGGACAGAUUGCUAAUCUGUUUAAGGGCUCAUAGCCUGUGCGGGUUCAAGUCCCGUCCUUUCCGCCA
This 91-nucleotide transfer RNA is filed under the name Desulfitobacterium sp. RNAcentral describes it as "tRNA-Ser". It matches the Rfam family "tRNA". Rfam says of the family: Transfer RNA (tRNA) molecules are approximately 80 nucleotides in length. The record is from RNAcentral. Lineage: Bacteria; Bacillati; Bacillota; Clostridia; Eubacteriales; Desulfitobacteriaceae.